This is an unclassified non-coding RNA of 300 nucleotides. Its record names the gene 7SK. It matches the Rfam family "7SK RNA". From Rfam's summary of the family: 7SK was discovered as an abundant small nuclear RNA in the mid-70s but a possible function has only recently been suggested. Two independent studies have found that 7SK RNA binds the CDK9/cyclin T complex (known as elongation factor P-TEFb). P-TEFb activates transcription by phosphorylating the C-terminal domain of RNA polymerase II. The record is from Ensembl.
GGAUGUGAGGGUGCUUUGGCUGUGACGUAUGUCACCCCAUUGAUCGCCAGGGGUGAUUUGACUGAUCUGGCUGGCUAGGCGCGUGUCCCCUUCCUCCCGCACCGCUCCGUGUGCCUCCCUCCCGAAGCGGAGGACGACCAUCCCCGAUACAGGAGGACCGUUCUUGGGUCAAGGGUGUACGAGUAGCUGCGCUCCCCUGCUAGAACCUCCAGACAAGCUCUCAGGAUGCAGUUGUUUGUUAAAUUUUGUAUGUAAAUGAUAGAAUAUUUGCGCAUUUAUGUUGGACAUGCAGAAGGACAU